CCCUUAGAUGUUCUCGGCCGCACACGCGCUACACUGAAAGAGGCAACGUGUUUGCCUGAUUCGAAAGAAUUGGGUAACCCCCUAAUCUCUUUCGUGCUGGGGAUUGAGGUUUGCAAUUAUCCUUCAUGAACGAGGAAUUCCCAGUAAGUGCGAGUCAUUAUCUCGCGCUGACUACGUCCCUGCCCUUUGUACACACCGCCCGUCGCUACUACCGAUUGAAUGAUUUAGUGAGGACUUCGGACUGAGUCCAAUGCUGCUUUCGGGCUGCGUUGGUAUUUCGGAAAGAUGUCCAAACUGUAUCAUUUAGAGGAAGUAAAAGUCGUAACA
Molecule: ribosomal RNA, 327 nt
Filed under: uncultured eukaryote
Lineage: Eukaryota
Description: partial 18S ribosomal RNA
Rfam family: Eukaryotic small subunit ribosomal RNA
Source: RNAcentral